CGGCGGACGGGUGAGUAACACGUGGAUAACCUACCUAUAAGACUGGGAUAACUUCGGGAAACCGGAGCUAAUACCGGAUAAUAUAUUGAACCGCAUGGUUCAAUAGUGAAAGACGGUUUUGCUGUCACUUAUAGAUGGAUCCGCGCCGCAUUAGCUAGUUGGUAAGGUAACGGCUUACCAAGGCAACGAUGCGUAGCCGACCUGAGAGGGUGAUCGGCCACACUUGAACUGAGACACGGUCCAG
This 244-nucleotide ribosomal RNA is filed under the name uncultured Staphylococcus sp. Its description in RNAcentral is "partial 16S ribosomal RNA". It matches the Rfam family "Bacterial small subunit ribosomal RNA", at positions 96 to 334 of the family's 1533-position model. Lineage: Bacteria; Bacillati; Bacillota; Bacilli; Caryophanales; Staphylococcaceae. The record is from RNAcentral.